RNA transcript from Oncorhynchus mykiss (rainbow trout), 944 nucleotides. RefSeq lists it as uncharacterized. Lineage: Eukaryota; Metazoa; Chordata; Actinopteri; Salmoniformes; Salmonidae. The record is from RefSeq and is a predicted model, not a curated record.
UGACCACCACCGGUGCAGCCAUGGAAGAUGAUGAAAUGGAGGAAGCACCUCUGGAUCUAGGACCACCUGAGAUUAUUAUGAACCUCACGGAAGUGACCACUGAGUACCUCGUUGAACAGGAUGUGGCCGUGGAGAGAAACAGAGAGAGAAACAAAGAGGAACAACGUCACACCAGCCCCCAGAUCCACUCAACUCAUUUCAGCAGAGGCUCUCCUCCAAGCCGUCGAGAGGGAUGCAGCCCAACCUGAUGCUCACAGGAAGGAGGAUGAAGAGACCCUCUUUGCCAUGAGCCUGGUGCCAACACUGAAGAGGCUGCCUCAGCAAAGAAAAGCAGCAGUCAAGGUUAAAAUGUAUCAGCUGCUUUUCGAAGCCGAGUUCAAUGAAAUGGAGUCAAUUUAGCCGACCUGCUCACAGGAAGGACAGGAAGAGGAGUUGUCUGGUUGUUGUUUUGACCUCCCUCGUUGUACCUUUCAUUUCACACACAUCAGUUCUGUUUAAAUUCAGUCAAUUAAUUUGUUUAUAAAGUCUUAGGAUAGUACUCAUUAUUAGUGUUACAUAGAUUUCUCAAUUGAAACUCAUACAGAGUUUUCACAGAUGCUCUUGGUCUCUUGCGAGACUAAAGGUCAAUAUAUUUCUUUAAUUUAAAACCACUUGAAAACCAGGGUGUUGCAACUUUUUGUGAAGUUAUGUUCCAUCAACUGGUCCGUGACGUCCAGGGGCCAUUUGUUUGUUUAGCUGUGUUAUAGCUACAUAUUAUGACAGAGACACACACACACCUCUUCGUACCUCAGAUCUCCAGUGCCCUGCCCUCUCUCUCUUUAUGGCCAUGUCUGAAGUUCCCCUACUACGUCUAGGCUUUAUGAGUAGUCCCUGUAUCGGUCUGCAGUUGUGCCAAAAAUACAUGCUCUUGUUGUUCUCUUACAGAUUACAGGCUACACAUUCAU